RNAcentral lists this ribosomal RNA (488 nucleotides) under uncultured Alphaproteobacteria bacterium. RNAcentral describes it as "bacterial SSU rRNA". It matches the Rfam family "Bacterial small subunit ribosomal RNA", at positions 8 to 532 of the family's 1533-position model. Lineage: Bacteria; Pseudomonadati; Pseudomonadota; Alphaproteobacteria. The record is from RNAcentral.
AGAGUUUGAUCCUGGCUCAGAACGAACGCUGGCGGCAGGCUUAACACAUGCAAGUCGAACGAGAAGCCACCUUCGGGUGGUGGACAGUGGCAGACGGGUGAGUAACGCGUGGGAACGUGCCUUUCGGUUCGGGAUAACCCAGGGAAACUUGGACUAAUACCGGAUACGCCCUUCGGGGGAAAGAUUCAUUGCCGAAAGAUCGGCCCGCGUCGGAUUAGCUAGUUGGUGAGGUAAAAGCUUACCAAGGCGACGAUCCGUAGCUGGUCUGAGAGGAUGACCAGCCACACUGGGACUGAGACACGGCCCAGACUCCUACGGGAGGCAGCAGUGGGGAAUAUUGGACAAUGGGCGAAAGCCUGAUCCAGCCAUGCCGCGUGGGUGAAGAAGGCCUUAGGGUUGUAAACCCCUUUCAGCGGGGAAGAUAAUGACGGUACCCGCAGAAGAAGCCCCGGCUAACUCCGUGCCAGCAGCCGCGGUAAUACGGAGGG